AAAUGGGGAAUGUGUCAAAGAGACAACAACCCGACCAAAAAAAAAAAAAAAACCACAACAGCAGAAGGUCACCAACAGGUCUUCAAUGUAGCGAGAAAUUCCCGCACCCGGAGGCGUCCUUCAACUGGCCCCUAAACAAAUAUAUACUAGUUCAGUGAUAAUGAACGCCAUACUAAUUUCCAAAUUGUACACAAGAAACUAAAAUUAAAAUAAUACAAGACUAACAAAGGCCAGAGGCUCCUGACUUGGGACAGGCGCAAAAA
This 263-nucleotide long non-coding RNA is filed under the name Mytilus galloprovincialis (Mediterranean mussel). Lineage: Eukaryota; Metazoa; Mollusca; Bivalvia; Mytilida; Mytilidae. The record is from RNAcentral.